Molecule: unclassified non-coding RNA, 345 nt
Filed under: soil metagenome
Description: partial contains 5.8S ribosomal RNA, internal transcribed spacer 2, and large subunit ribosomal RNA
Rfam family: 5.8S ribosomal RNA (bases 1-119)
Source: RNAcentral
GAUGAAGAACGCAGCGAAAUGCGAUACGUAAUGUGAAUUGCAAAUUCAGUGAAUCAUCGAGUCUUUGAACGCACAUUGCGCCCCCUGGUAUUCCGGGGGGCAUGCCUGUCCGAGCGUCAUUGCUGCCCUCAAGCACGGCUUGUGUGUUGGGCCCCGUCCUCCGAUCCCGGGGGACGGGCCCGAAAGGCAGCGGCGGCACCGCGUCCGGUCCUCGAGCGUAUGGGGCUUUGUCACCCGCUCUGUAGGCCCGGCCGGCGCUUGCCGAUCAACCCAAAUUUUUAUCCAGGUUGACCUCGGAUCAGGUAGGGAUACCAGCUGAACUUAAGCAUAUCAAUAAGCGGAGGA